This 459-nucleotide ribosomal RNA is filed under the name uncultured bacterium. RNAcentral's name for it is "partial 16S ribosomal RNA". It matches the Rfam family "Bacterial small subunit ribosomal RNA", at positions 338 to 795 of the family's 1533-position model. The record is from RNAcentral.
CCUACGGGUGGCAGCAGUGAGGAAUAUUGGUCAAUGGACGCAAGUCUGAACCAGCCAUGCCGCGUGCAGGAAGACUGCUCUAUGAGUUGUAAACUGCUUUUGUACGAGGGUAAACGCAGAUACGUGUAUCUGUCUGAAAGUAUCGUACGAAUAAGGAUCGGCUAACUCCGUGCCAGCAGCCGCGGUAAUACGGAGGAUUCAAGCGUUAUCCGGAUUUAUUGGGUUUAAAGGGUGCGUAGGCGGUCGGAUAAGUUAGAGGUGAAAUCCCGAGGCUCAACUUCGGAAUUGCCUCUGAUACUGUUGGGCUAGAGAGUAGUUGCGGUAGGCGGAAUGUAUGGUGUAGCGGGGAAAUGCUUAGAGAUCAUACAGAACACCGAUUGCGAAGGCAGCUUACCAAGCUACUUCUGACGUUGAGGCACGAAAGCGUGGGAGCAAACAGGAUUAGAUACCCCAGUAGUC